Molecule: ribosomal RNA, 465 nt
Filed under: uncultured bacterium
Lineage: Bacteria
Description: partial 16S ribosomal RNA
Rfam family: Bacterial small subunit ribosomal RNA
Source: RNAcentral
CCUACGGGUGGCAGCAGUGGGGAAUAUUGCGCAAUGGGCGAAAGCCUGACCCAGCGACGCCGCGUGAGGGAUGAAGGUCUUCGGAUCGUAAACCUCUGUCAGCAGGGAAGAACAGUCACCGUGCUCAUCAGCAGUGAAUUGACGGUACCUGCAAAGGAAGCACCGGCUAACUCCGUGACAGCAGCCGCGGUAAUACGGAGGGUGCGAGCGUGAAUCGGAAUUUCUGGGCGUAAGGCGCUCGUAGGCGGUAUGUCAAGUCAAGGGUGAAAUCCCCGGGCUCAACGUGGGAACUGCCUUUGAAACUGGCAAACUGGAGUGUGUGAGAGGAUAGUGGAAUUCCAGGUGUAGGAGUGAAAUCCGUAGAUAUCUGGAGGAACAUCAGUGGCGAAGGCGACUAUCUGGCACAUAACUGACGCUGAGGAGCGAAAGCGUGGGUAGCAAACAGGAUUAGAUACCCUUGUAGUC